GAACUUGGAGGGAGAAGAUAUCGAAAGAUAAGCUUGAUCUACUACCUAGUGUUGCGAAAAUUAUACUAGUGCCGGUGUCGGUGAUGCUGUGACCAUCACCGUCCGGCGAUGCUACUGGGAAAUUGGUAUUAAUGAAGAAGAAGAUUAUUAAGUGAAUCAGUGUAUUUGAGAGUUCCAUUUUUUCCGUUUCUGUUGCGGUUUAGUCUACUAGUGGCUCACUCAGUAGUGAUAUAUGAUUGACACUGAGAAAUUAUUUUUGGUGAUGUCUAUUCUUUGAUGAGGGUUGCGUAAGAGAUGAUGUUUGGGAAGGGAAUCAAUUAGAUUGUG
This 327-nucleotide long non-coding RNA is filed under the name Panax ginseng (ginseng). Its description in RNAcentral is "long non-coding RNA (PGIN_LNC008781)". The record is from RNAcentral. Lineage: Eukaryota; Viridiplantae; Streptophyta; Magnoliopsida; Apiales; Araliaceae.